UCCUACGGGACGCAGCAGUGAGGAAUAUUGGUCAAUGGUCGGGAGACUGAACCAGCCAAGCCGCGUGAGGGAUGAAGGUACAGAGUAUCGUAAACCUCUUUUGUCAGGGAACAAAGGCGGGGACGUGUCCCCGGAUGAGUGUACCUGAAGAAAAAGCAUCGGCUAACUCCGUGCCAGCAGCCGCGGUAAUACGGAGGAUGCGAGCGUUAUCCGGAUUUAUUGGGUUUAAAGGGUGCGCAGGCGGUCUGUUAAGUCAGCGGUCAAAGCCCGGGGCUCAACCCCGCCGAGCCGUCGGAACUGGGGGC
This 305-nucleotide ribosomal RNA is filed under the name uncultured bacterium. RNAcentral describes it as "bacterial SSU rRNA". It matches the Rfam family "Bacterial small subunit ribosomal RNA", at positions 337 to 640 of the family's 1533-position model. The record is from RNAcentral.